CGUGCCUAACACAUGCAAGUCGAGCGGAGAUGAUGUGAGGAAGUUUUCGGAUGGAAUCACAUUAUUUAGCGGCGGACGGGUGAGUAACGCGUGAGCGACCAACCUUGCACAGGGGGAUAACGGACCGAAAGGUUCACUAAUACCGCAUGAGACCACGGUGUUGCAUGACACAGGGGUCAAAGGAGGAAUCCGGUGCAAGACGGGCUCGCGUCCGAUUAGGUAGUUGGAGGGGUAACGGCCCACCAAGCCUAUGAUCGGUAGCCGACCUGAGAGGGUGAUCGGCCACAUUGGAACUGAGAUACGGUCCAAACUCCUACGGGAGGCAGCAGUGGGGAAUAUUGGGCAAAUGGGGGAAACCCUGACCCAGCAACGCCGCGUGAAGGAAGAAGGUUUUCGGAUUGUAAACUUCUGUCCUUGGUGAAGAGAAGAAGACGGUAGCCAAGGAGGAAGCCCCGGCUAACUACGUGCCAGCAGCCGC
Molecule: ribosomal RNA, 478 nt
Filed under: uncultured bacterium
Lineage: Bacteria
Description: bacterial SSU rRNA
Rfam family: Bacterial small subunit ribosomal RNA
Source: RNAcentral